GGUGCUUGCACUGGUCAAUCUAGUGGCGAACGGGUGAGUAACACGUGGGUAACCUGCCCAUCAGAGGGGGAUAACAUCCGGAAACGGAUGCUAAAACCGCAUAGGUCUUCGAACCGCAUGGUUUGAAGAGGAAAAGAGGCGCAAGCUUCUGCUGAUGGAUGGACCCGCGGUGCAUUAGCUAGUUGGUGAGGUAACGGCUCACCAAGGCCGUGAUGCAUAGCCGACCUGAGAGGGUGAUCGGCCACAUUGGGACUGAGACACGGCCCAAACUCCUACGGGAGGCAGCAGUAGGGAAUCUUCCGCAAUGGACGCAAGUCUGACGGAGCAACGCCGCGUGAGUGAAGAAGGUUUUCGGAUCGUAAAACUCUGUUGUUAGAGAAGAACAAGUGCUAGAGUAACUGUUAGCGCCUUGACGGUAUCUAACCAGAAAGCCACGGCUAACUACGUGCCAGCAGCCGCGGUAAUACGUAGGUGGCAAGCGUUGUCCGGAUUUAUUGGGCGUAAAGCGAGCGCAGGCGGUUCCUUAAGUCUGAUGUGAAAGCCCCCGGCUCAACCGGGGAGGGUCAUUGGAAACUGGGGAACUUGAGUGCAGAAGAGGAGAGUGGAAUUCCAUGUGUAGCGGUGAAAUGCGUAGAUAUAUGGAGGAACACCAGUGGCG
This 658-nucleotide ribosomal RNA is filed under the name uncultured Bacilli bacterium. RNAcentral's name for it is "bacterial SSU rRNA". It matches the Rfam family "Bacterial small subunit ribosomal RNA", at positions 75 to 717 of the family's 1533-position model. Lineage: Bacteria; Bacillati; Bacillota; Bacilli. The record is from RNAcentral.